This 209-nucleotide long non-coding RNA is filed under the name Elaeis guineensis (African oil palm). RNAcentral's name for it is "long non-coding RNA (EGUI_LNC035261)". Lineage: Eukaryota; Viridiplantae; Streptophyta; Magnoliopsida; Arecales; Arecaceae. The record is from RNAcentral.
UCCAAGUCUUAAAAUGAUUUAUUUAAAAUUGAGAUCCUUAGCAUUCACAUAUAACCUAAAAUUUGCAUGACUUGAAUUGGUUAAGUUGCAAAACUGGGUUGAAAUCAACACCUUUAUCAAAUUGUGCUUGUAACAAUCAAAAUCAUGAGAGGCCUCUCCUACCAACUACCAAAAAUGAAAUCUAAUGACUAGAAGAUAUUGCCCAACCA